Molecule: ribosomal RNA, 433 nt
Filed under: uncultured bacterium
Lineage: Bacteria
Description: partial 16S ribosomal RNA
Rfam family: Bacterial small subunit ribosomal RNA
Source: RNAcentral
AACGAACGCUGGCGGCAUGCCUAACACAUGCAAGUCGAACGAGACCUUCGGGUCUAGUGGCGCACGGGUGCGUAACGCGUGGGAACCUGCCCUUAGGUUCGGAAUAACUCCCCGAAAGGGGUGCUAAUACCGGAUAAUGUCUUCGGACCAAAGAUUUAUCGCCUUUGGAUGGGCCCGCGUUGGAUUAGCUAGUUGGUAGGGUAAAAGCCUACCAAUGCGACGAUCCAUAGCUGGUCUGAGAGGAUGAUCAGCCACACUGGGACUGAGACACGGCCCAGACUCCUACGGGAGGCAGCAGUGGGGAAUAUUGGACAAUGGGCGAAAGCCUGAUCCAGCAAUGCCGCGUGAGUGAUGAAGGCCUUAGGGUUGUAAAGCUCUUUUACCCGGGAUGAUAAUGACAGUACCGGGAGAAUAAGCUCCGGCUAACUCCGUG